Long non-coding RNA from Papaver somniferum (opium poppy), 960 nucleotides. RefSeq lists it as uncharacterized. The transcript is spliced from 3 exons. The record is from RefSeq and is a predicted model, not a curated record. Lineage: Eukaryota; Viridiplantae; Streptophyta; Magnoliopsida; Ranunculales; Papaveraceae.
UCAGUCCCAUACUAGCAAGAGAGUUAACACCUUUCUUAUUAGAAAAAAAAGAAAAAAAAAAUUCUGAGUUCAUCUCUUCACCCCGCCGUCUGUUUUUUGUAUCUGGGUUUUGCUUUGGUGGUGACUCAAUUUACACAUCCAAAGAUUUUGAUUUGAUAAAUUGGUUAAGACAAACUUAAGAGGAGAUCGGAGAAGAAGAAGAUAUAAAUUAAAGAAAGAGUUCAAUUGCUUUACAAGGUAUGAUACGGAUACCUGCAACAACUAUAGGUGACUUUUUUCACCUGAAAGUAGUCUCCUUGAACGUUUUCGGUGGUAUGUUACACACUUUAAGAAGUGUUGUGAAUUUUCGCGUAACAAUAAUAUAUGGUCCAAAUUAUCAUCAUAAUUUUCAAUGAUUCUUCUUAGAAGCACAACGGUCUAAGUUAUGUGUUUAAUGAAGGAUAUCAUGUCGAUCGUUAUUGCUUUCAAGAAACUACUCGAAGCAUAUAUGUUUAACGGGUCCUGCCUGCUGUGCAUAUGAUUGAAUUUCUUGGACACUAGAUCUUUCAAAGUUACUUCCCAUAUGUUAACAUCUUAUUGUUUUUUAUGUGUCAUUUAGGUCUACUUGAACUUAAUAAAACAAACUCUCUCUUCUCAUCAAAAAAAAAAGGUCUACUUGAACUGAUCUGUUAGUAAGUUUUUUGAAUUGGACUCUUGCUUCAUUUUAUCGAAGUGUUGUACUGAUUAUUAGUUAUGAUGUUAGUUACUGGAAAAUUAGGAGAGGCGUACUGAUUAUUAGUUACUGGAAAAUUAGGAGAGGCGUAAGUUCAACACCAGUAACUCGCGAUAAAAAUUAUCAGUACUCGAUUUUGAGUGGAAUUUUUCAUUACGAUGAAAAUGUUACUUUGCAAUUUUUUCUUAUGUACUUCUUGAAUUUUUUACCUUGGGUCUUAGUUGAAAUUAUUCAUUUUUAUUCGGAUA